UUUUAAAGUUUUCUGUGAAUAUUGUAAAUACGAUUUAAACUUAUUACUGUUUUAUGGCUCAUUCUUUUAACCACUAGCAAACCCAUGCAAUAAAAUUCGACCCCAUUUUAAAGCUUAUGACUCAACCGAUUUAUUAUUUCAUAAAAUAUACCAUGUUUAUUCUUUUGUUAUUUUGAUCCAACCGUUUCUAGACUCGUGUUGCUUAUCGUUUGCACAGACAGAGAGAUGAGAGCAUCAUAAAAUGACCACAAGCAAGCUGGAAUGUGGAUGCCAUCACAUCACACCCUCAAAUAUGGCGUGUCAGAGUUCAAAAAGCCUUAAAAUCAUCCGUCUGCCAUUUGAUCACCCAGAAGAUGUCCAGAGGUUCACAGGGCACCAUCGCUAUUCAAAAUAUGUGGACAAAGGUCAUAUCGGGCCCCGGAGGAUCACCAACAAUGUCAAAGGUCAUUGGGGUGAUACUACGGUCAACCAUGGUAGGGGGAUGGGAAAACUUCGUGGGUGGUCCGUGGGGGAGGGGAACGUCGUGGGUGGCCCCAAGGGUCACAGAGGUCAGAAAGGUCAAAGGUCACGAUCCAUCAUUUUGACAGAAGGUGCAGCAUAUAACUACUAGUAAGUAUAUCUUGAUAUAUGCUUUCUUUAUUUGUAUUUUUUCACCGUAACCUAGCAGUUCUUAUUGCCAUUAAGAGUGUAACUUAUUUAGUUUAAUCGCAGACGCAAUAUGGAGGUGAAUUAAUCAUGUUUCCUAUAAUUUAUUUAUGAUUGCAUUAUAAUGAUUUCUUAUAUAUGAAUGUGAUCGCGUGUGUGGGCGUGUUCAGAAUUUGAACUGCUGAAAAUACAAUAUUUUAAUUGAACUCUGACUUUUUAAAUCAUUUUAAACUAACUAAAUGACUUAAAGUUAAAUUUGCAGAACGAAAAUCAAAGAUCUGAUCUUGUAACAUUCAAAGACAUUUAUAUACAUUUAAUCCAUCGCUAUUAUAACCACCAGUGAUGUUCAAUAUAUCACCCCCUCUAGAAAUACUGCUUAUAAUCUAUUUUUCUUUUUGCAUUUGAAAAGUGAGGUGUUCAAUUACUGUUUGUGUUUGUAAUAUGUAAUAUUUUUGUGCUUAUCAUUUUGUAGGAUCAGUACAGAUUUGUUAUUGGAGAUACAGUGCAAGCUGUGUGGAAUCAAUGACCCGUAUUGAUGAGUUGAUGUUACAAGUUUUGCCAUUAAUUCAGCCAGCACACCCUGAUCACACACUACAAGCUACAACACUGCCAUCAACUAUCCUUAUAGCUUUUAAAUGCUUUGAAUCUUUUCUAUUUGCAAGUAUUAAAUUCUCACCUGUGCACUUACAAAUCCCCAUCUAAUCAUUAUAUAUCUAUAUAUAAUGAUAUUAUAUAAUUAUUUUCAAAGCAAAAACGCAUUCUGUGUGAACGACCCCUCAAUUUGCUUGGGUCUUGGGUUAUAUAUAGAUUAUUUAUCUAUAAUUGUGUAAUUGAUAAAGUUAUGUUUAAUUCCCUGUAAAGUAGGCUAGGAAUAAAAACGUUUAUAAAAAUGUUCUUUAUGUUUAAAGGCCAGUGUCAGUGAAGAUGGUGUGGUCACUGGAAUCCUGGUGUUUGUGGAAAUGGGAAGGAGUCUCUCCCAGGAUUCUACUACAGUGUUGUCCUGAUGACUGAGUAAAAAUGCCAGUUGGUUCAACUCUUUAGUAGUGCACCCAUUGCCUGGAGAAGAUCAAUUGUUCCAAUCUAAGAUGCACCAAGUGUGGGAAGCUGCUGGACAUGAAGUCUAGGCAGACGGCCCCUAUGAAAGUGUUCCGGACCAAGGAAUGGGCACAAAAAGUCCCGCAAUCAGGCAAAAAUCUUUGACAACAGUGCCCUGUUGUUCCUUCAGAUCACAUACUCCUCCAUCUCCAUCUCCCACAACAACCUUUAAUCCAAAUCAACAGCUCUUUUAAGAAGCCAUCUCUCGCAAAAGCUCUCUCACUAUUUCUCUCUCUCAGCUUUCUUGCCUAUUUUUUCUGACCUGUAAUCUGUAAUUCAUUUACACAUAGUUUUGCUCUCUUUCUUUCAUUUUUUCAUCAUGGCAUAUUUUUAAAUCUCAGAAUCAAAUGUUGACCAAUUCUGUCAGAAAGCUGAUCUUAUUAACAGGGAACUCGAACUCAAAGUUACCAAUGCUGAUCUUGAAGAAGCUGCAACGACAAACAUUUCCAGUGAGAAGAGAAGAAUAUCUUUCUGAUGGGAGUCUUGCAACUGUGGCACAAACUGGAGAAGUACCGGGAUGCCAGAGGUUGCUGUUCUGAAUUCCUGGGCACUUAUGUUUGUCUUUAAACAGUUUGACAUAUCAAGAAACAUUGGGAAAUGACUACAAAUUGUGUGCAUUCACUAUGAUUUUUUUUUAUUAUUAUUUCCUUUUUUACUUUUUUAUUCCUAUAGUUCAACUGGUAGAGCUAAGAAUGGCAAGAGGUCCAUUUCUAGGAAACACAGAAGUGACUAAAUGUAUACCUUUUAAUACACUAUAAAUACAGUAAUGUUACAGAAGCACUUUAGCCAAGCAGUACUACAUGCUUGAAUAAUUAUCAGAGGAGUAGUUUUCUGUAAGCAAAUAAAACAUUUUGAUACAUUUGGGACAAAUAAAUGUUUAACUGAUAAUCUGUCCAUUCACCACAAGAACCUGGAAGAUCCUGUCAUAAAUGACCAUAUAUGGACAAGCAAGUGUGACGCCCCUGCUCAACUGGGUUGCCAUUGGCUUUGAACUUCCCUUGACACUGGCAGGGCUCGCUGUGAUUGGACUAUCUUUUAACCCAAAUUAAAAAAUGCAUAAAGUUGCAAAGUAUGUUUUGUUGUUAUUAUUAUGUCAGUAAUACCUUCAUUUAACAAUGCAGCCUUGCUAUGUUGUGAGAAAUUACCUCUUUACCGAGAUCCUAACCCUAACCCUAAGCAUAACUUCACUAAACUACAAAUGUUUUUCGCGUUCUAUCGAUAGAAUGGCAGAGGCUUAUGGGUAAUGUAGUUUAAAACGUUUAAUAAUGAAAUGGGGGGAUAUACUUAACUUUAAUGAACAAAGGGAUAUAGUCAUGUUUAUUGUGCAAACCUCUAUGACAUAUUUGAGAGGCAGGCUGAAAUUUGAUAUUUUACUAUGAGCACUUUUUAAAAUGCCUUUAUACCAUCUUUUUGUAUAUAUUUGAAAAUUGUGUCCAACACUAUUUAGUAAACAUAGAAUAUGUAAUUGUCAUGCCAAUUUUUUUCUUUGAUACUAAAAUCAGACUUUGAUUUACAGCCAUUUGAAAUGUGCAUUUUUUUCUUUUCUUUUGCACUUCCAGGGGACUUUACAUGGGCCCCUGGGGUGGAAGGGCAUUUUCAGUUAUUUAUUUAAAAUAACUUAAGAUAAACAGUAUCUUCUUAUAUAAAAAAUAAAUGUAUAUAUCUUUUUUUUUUAUUUACUUCUCAUCUAUGCAUUUAUGCUGUGUUUUUGUGGAUAUUUUGUAUUUUUUCUUUACAUAUUUACUGCACAAUUACUUAACCAUGUCAUAAAUUGGCUUAUGAAAAAUUGAUUUUUAAUGAAAAAAAUCACUUUAAUGAUGAACUUAAUUAAAUAUAAAUUGUUUUUGGACAUUGCUCUAUGUGUUAGGGAUAGAAUACUACCAUCUACAGGUUUGUGGAAAAACUUUAGGAAUUAUAGUUAAAGAAAGAAA
Ctenopharyngodon idella (grass carp) is the source of this 3671-nucleotide long non-coding RNA. RefSeq lists it as uncharacterized. The record is from RefSeq and is a predicted model, not a curated record. Lineage: Eukaryota; Metazoa; Chordata; Actinopteri; Cypriniformes; Xenocyprididae. The transcript has 6 exons.